UACGAAGGGGGCUAGCGUUGUUCGGAAUCACUGGGCGUAAAGCGCACGUAGGCGGAUUUGUUAGUCAGGGGUGAAAUCCCGGGGCCCAACCUCGGAACUGCCUUUGAUACUGCAAAUCUCGAGUCCGGAAGAGGUGAGUGGAAUUCCUAGUGUAGAGGUGAAAUUCGUAGAUAUUAGGAAGAACACCAGUGGCGAAGGCGGCUCACUGGUCCGGUACUGACGCUGAGGUGAGAAAGCGUGGGGAGCAAACAGG
Molecule: ribosomal RNA, 253 nt
Filed under: uncultured bacterium
Lineage: Bacteria
Description: partial 16S ribosomal RNA
Rfam family: Bacterial small subunit ribosomal RNA
Source: RNAcentral